This 26-nucleotide non-coding RNA is filed under the name Homo sapiens (human). Lineage: Eukaryota; Metazoa; Chordata; Mammalia; Primates; Hominidae. The record is from RNAcentral.
UGGAGCUCCCACUUGCAGUGGCCACC